This 388-nucleotide ribosomal RNA is filed under the name uncultured bacterium. RNAcentral's name for it is "bacterial SSU rRNA". It matches the Rfam family "Bacterial small subunit ribosomal RNA", at positions 28 to 423 of the family's 1533-position model. The record is from RNAcentral.
GACGAACGCUGGCGGCGUGCUUAACACAUGCAAGUCGAACGGUGAAGCCCUUCGGGGUGGAUCAGUGGCGAACGGGUGAGUAACACGUGAGCAAUCUGCCCUUGACUCUGGGAUAACUUCGGGAAACCGGAGCUAAUACCGGAUAUGACGCAUGGCCGCAUGGUCUGUGUGUAGGAAAGAUUUAUUGGUCAGGGAUGAGCUCGCGGCCUAUCAGCUUGGGUGGGUAAUGGCCUACCAAGGCGACGACGGGUAGCCGGCCUGAGAGGGCGACCGGCCACACUGGGACUGAGACACGGCCCAGACUCCUACGGGAGGCAGCAGUGGGGAAUAUUGCGCAAUGGGCGAAAGCCUGACGCAGCGACGCCGCGUGAGGGAUGAAGGCCUCGGU